Molecule: long non-coding RNA, 2370 nt
Organism: Parus major (Great Tit)
Lineage: Eukaryota; Metazoa; Chordata; Aves; Passeriformes; Paridae
Source: Ensembl
GAUGGAUCAGGGCAGGCUGGGAUCAUGGAAUCAAUCAUGGAAUCAUGGAAUCAUGGAAUCAUGGAAUCAUGGAAUCAUGGAAUCAUGGAAUGGUUUGGGUUGGAAGGGACCAGAAAGAUCCAAACCCCUGCCAGGGUUUGGGCAGGGACACCUUCCCCUAUCCCAGGCUGCUCCAAGCGCUGUCCAGCCCUGCCCCGGACACUUCCAGGGAUGUGACCCCAUGGCUGCUUCACUCCCACGGUGUCACAUCCCUCCUUUAAUGCACUUCCUGGGCUGUGGGGAGGGGGUCCCGCUGUCCCCACGGUGUCCCCACAGUGUCCCCACAGUGUCCCCGCACUGUCUGGGGCUGCUGCUGUCUCUGCGGAGCUCCGAGGACCCCGUUCAGAGCUCUGAGGUCACUGUUCGGAGCUCCGAGAACACCGUUCAGAGGCCUGAGGUCGCCGUUUGGAGCUCCGAGAACCCCGUUUGGAGCUCCUAGGAUGCCAUUCGGAGCUCUGAGGACGCCGUUCAAAGCUCUGAGGUCACCUUUUGGAGCUCCGAGGACGCCGUUUGGAGCCCUGAGAACACCGUUCGGAGCUCCAGGGAUGCCGUUCGGAGCUACGAGGUCGCUAUUUGGAGCUCCAAGGACACCGUUCAGAGCCCAGAGAACACCAUUCGGAGUUCCGAGGUCACUGUUCGGAGCUCCGAGGACCCCGUUCAGAGCUCUGAGAACGCCGUUUGGAGCUCUGAAGUCACCAUUCAGAGCUCCGAGGUCGCCGUUCAGAGCUCCGAGGUCGCCGUUUGGAGCUCCGAGGUCGCCGUUCGGUGCUCCGAGGUCGCCGUUUGGAGCUUCGAGGUCGCCGUUCGGAGCUCCGAGGACCCCGUGCGGCCGCCGCGGACACGGCGGGGACAGAGGGAGCCACGGCCGGGAUCCGGCUCCUUCUCCCUGUUAUUCCAGAAAUCCUGGGGAGCCGGGCCGAGCUCUCAUUCCUGGGAAUGAACCCGCUGCAGGAUUGAUGGAAGAGGUGACAGCGACUGGGGAAGGACGGAAUCAGAGCCAGGAGCGUCCCGAGCUUUCAGGGAGGGGCCAAGGAGCAGCUCUGAGCCCCCGUGGAGGGAAAAGCAGCUCCAGAUCUCUGCCUCUGGAUGAAUCCCAAGCUCCCAACACCCAACAGGAUCCCUGGGACAUCCCUGGAGCUGCCGAGUGCCGGCUCCCCCUGGCUCGGGGGGGAUUUUCCAUCCGUGCAGAGGGUGAGGGCGGCAUUCACCUCCCUCCCCUGACCCUUCCCAGGGCUGCGCCUCAUCCCUGCCCUUCCCUGGGAUACUCCUGCUGGGAACUGGGCUCCUGCGGGACACAGCCUGGCUGUGCAGGUGACAGAGAUGUGACCUGAGCCGAGGUUCGGCUGUGCCAGGCGCUCCCGGCCGUGCCCGCCGGGCGCUUUUGGGGUGUUUCAGCGGUUUGGGGUGUUUGUUUCGGGCUGAGCGGCUCUGGGCGAUCCCCAGGUCUCUUCCCAGAGCUGUGAACAGCAGAUGGCAUCCCUGGGCUGAGCUGCGGCUGGAGCUCCGCAGCCCCUCCCGCUGUCCUGGGCUGCCCUGGCCGGGGCAGCUCCAAAAUCCCAUUCCAGGUGGUGCAAGGUCCAACAAAGAAUGCUGCGCGUCUCCUCAGGGGUUUUCUUCCCAUGGAAAGACAUCCCCGACACCUCCCAGAGGCUGGGACAGAGCUGGAUUUGGAUCCAAAGAGUCCCUGAUGCUGCUGCCCAGCUCCAGUCCAGGAAAAAUCUCCGGGGCUAGGUCUGGUGCAGCUCCCCGAGCUCUGCAGUCAUUCCCGUGGGAUGAGAGACCCGCAGAGCUCCUUUCCCUGGAUAAAUGUUGGGUUUGUCACAAACCUUCCCCCAUCCCUGGGGGCUGCAGGAAGCCCUGGGCCGGUCCCUCUGUCCCAGGCAGCCCCCGGGACCCUCUGUGCCUGCUCUCCUUUAUCCCAACCCAGCCGAGCGCUUGGAGUUUUCCAGGCACAAAAGGAUCCCGGAGCGGCCCCGGCCGUGUCCUCGCCUGAACUCCCCACGCUCGGAGUUUACUGAGAGGCUUUUCAGCCUCGGUGGCUGCUCCGACACAGAGGGCUGGGCUGGCCCUGCUGCCAAAAAUCAUCGGUUAUCGGCCCCGAGCAGGCUUUGUCUGCACAAACAGGAAACUUCCUGAAGGAACAGCUUCCAAAGGAUCCGGUGGCGGAGCAGAAAUGAUUCCUGCACCUCGCUGUGGGCCCAGGACACGCGGCUGGGCUGGUCCUGGCUGUUGGGGACAAUGUUUUGGGGGUUUUUUGUUAUUUUUUAAAAAUUUUUUUGAGGGGAAUUUUGCUUGUUUUGCCUCUGAACGCCUCGGGGUUUCUGCAGCCCC